Molecule: ribosomal RNA, 397 nt
Filed under: uncultured bacterium
Lineage: Bacteria
Description: bacterial SSU rRNA
Rfam family: Bacterial small subunit ribosomal RNA
Source: RNAcentral
UGUUGGACAAUGGGGGAAACCCUGAUCCAGCGACGCCGCGUGAGUGAAGAAGUAUUUCGGUACGUAAAGCUCUAUCAGCAGGAAAGAAAAUGACGGUACCUGACUAAGAAGCCCCGGCUAACUACGUGCCAGCAGCCGCGGUAAUACGUAGGGGGCAAGCGUUAUCCGGAUUUACUGGGUGUAAAGGGUGCGUAGGUGGCAAGGCAAGUCAGAUGUGAAAGCCCGGGGCUCAACCCCGGUACUGCAUUUGAAACUGUCUGGCUAGAGUGCAGGAGAGGUAAGCGGAAUUCCUAGUGUAGCGGUGAAAUGCGUAGAUAUUAGGAGGAACACCAGUGGCGAAGGCGGUUUACUGGACUGUAACUGACACUGAGGCACGAAAGCGUGGGGAGCAAACAGG